UACGGAGGGUGCAAGCGUUAUCCGGAUUCACUGGGUUUAAAGGGUGCGUAGGAGGGCAGGUAAGUCAGUGGUGAAAUCCUAGAGCUUAACUCUAGAACUGCCGUUGAUACUAUCUGUCUUGAAUAUCGUGGAGAUGAGCGGAAUAUGUCAUGUAGCGGUGAAAUGCUUAGAUAUGACAUAGAACACCAAUUGCGAAGGCAGCUCGUUACACGAAUAUUGACUCUGAGGCACGAAAGCGUGGGGAUCAAACAGG
This 253-nucleotide ribosomal RNA is filed under the name uncultured bacterium. RNAcentral describes it as "partial 16S ribosomal RNA". It matches the Rfam family "Bacterial small subunit ribosomal RNA", at positions 524 to 776 of the family's 1533-position model. The record is from RNAcentral.